Molecule: ribosomal RNA, 526 nt
Filed under: Paramecocnemis erythrostigma
Lineage: Eukaryota; Metazoa; Arthropoda; Insecta; Odonata; Platycnemididae
Description: partial 16S ribosomal RNA
Rfam family: Bacterial large subunit ribosomal RNA
Source: RNAcentral
GUCUUCUUGUUUAUUUGGGAAGUCAGGCCUGCCCGGUGAUGGUUUUAACGGCCGCGGUAUUUUGACCGUGCAAAGGUAGCAUAAUCAUUAGUCUUUUAAUAUGAGGCUGGAAUGAAGGGUUUAAUGAAACAAUAACUGUCUCAUUUAAAUAACUUGAACUUAAUUUUUAAGUUAAAAAGCUUAAAUUUUUUUGGUGGACGAGAAGACCCUAUAGAGCUUUACAUUUAUUUAUUUAUUAAUUUUUGGUUAAUUAUUAAUUAUUAUUUUAUUAAUGUUUGGUUGGGGUGACGGAAAUAUAAAUUUAGCUUUUUUAUUUUAUGUACAUUGAUAUAUGGAUACUUGACCCAGUAAUAUUGGUUAGUAGAUUAAGUUACCUUAGGGAUAACAGCGUAAUCUUUUUUUGGAGUUCUUAUUUACAAAAAGGUUUGCGACCUCGAUGUUGGAUUAAGAUGAUUGUUUGGUGUAGCAGCUUUAUUAAUAGGUCUGUUCGACCUUUAAAUUCUUACAUGAUCUGAGUUCAGACCGG